This is a long non-coding RNA of Pan troglodytes (chimpanzee), 3257 nucleotides long. RefSeq lists it as uncharacterized. The transcript has 3 exons. Lineage: Eukaryota; Metazoa; Chordata; Mammalia; Primates; Hominidae. The record is from RefSeq and is a predicted model, not a curated record.
CCUUGGGAGGACUACUCAGAUGAUAGGAACCAGUGGUUGAAAAAGAGAGAAACAAGAUGAAAGGAUUCGUGACUUUUCUGGGAAGUAUAAAAAGCUAUUUUGUGCCUCUUCUUUAUUUAGUUGCCAAUAGAUUGUUUUAUUUGUCUAUUUUGUUGUGUGAUAAAAUGCGAUAUGGGAGUAAUUGUUUUUCUUGUGUGUGCAUGCAUGUAUGUAUUUCUAUUUUGAUGAAGUGCUGACCCUGCUGAUUCAGAAUACCUUUAAGUUUUACAAAGAUUUUAUUUUCUCCUGGCUUCCUCUUGCAUACGCAAAGGCAGUAAUAGAGUAUCAUUUAAAUAAUAUGCCUUGGUUAGAACACAGCAAUGUAGUUAAGAGAAACAUUUUAGAGGUUGACCUAAAAUACAUUAACUUUGAAAUAAAUAUACAUCUAGCAUAAAGAAUGAAUUUUACCAAAUAUACAUAUCAGUUUUACCAACAGAUACCAUUUUGGGAAGAUACGUAUUCUGGUUUAAAAAAUAUUUUAGUUUGAGUUCAGUUGUAUUAUAGCUUACAUAAUACUAAUUAGAUGCUGGCUCAGAGCUAUGUGUUAGUCAAAAAUUUUGGCUAGGUUCUCAUGAAAUAUCUGAAAGGCUAAAGAACAAUGUAAUUAUGCAUACAUUUAAAAUUUUGAAAGAAACAUCCCAUGUGCUACCUGACAGUGAAAUUGUCCCUGAUGAUAAGGAGAAAGGAUAAGAAGAUGCUGGGGACUGCCCGGUUCGGAGUGGACAUACUCAGGCCUAAUUCCUUAAAUAUUCAACUGAACUAGAUGAUGCUCUAUGAUCUACAAGCUCUCUGUGCCUUGGUUUCUAAUAAAACAAAAUGUAGGGAGCAUCAAUCUCAUAAAUAUUUCUUUUCUUUCUUCUUCUUUUUUUUUUUUAUAAACUGAAUGGAGAUUCCUGUGCAGUAGACUAUAUCAUAAAUGCUGGCAUUAGAAGAUUAGAAAAACUCCUGUCUUAUAAACUAUUUUAUAUUGGGUAUUUACUAUUUAUAGCUAAUGGAUUUCUAAAUAUAUGAUUUGACCUGCUACAUUUAAACUAAGUAAUAAAAUACGUGUCAAAUAAUCCAAGUUAAUAUCCAAAGUCAUGACAUUAUCAAAGUUACAGUUUUUUCUUAAUCUGUCAAGAAUUUCAGUGCUAAAUUGACCUUAAUUUUUUAAAAAAAUAAUAUUUAGGUAACUUUCUGAUUACUCAAAAUAGUUCAGAACUGUAACUCAUGCUCCUGUGUGUGUGUGAUUUUUCUGCCUGUGCACUCUAUAACUGUGACUUGCUCAAGGGUGCUAAGAAGAGAGAAGCUGAUGUGGCUGAUGUUGGAAGGUGAUGAAUUCAUCCAUGGUAAAAGAAAUAUCCCUUAAGGCAGGGGUCUCCAACCCCUGGACCAUGGACCCACACUGGUCAGAUCAGUGGCAGCAUCAGAUUCUCACAGGAGCAUGAACCCUACGGUGAACUCCACAUGCAAGGGAUCUAGUUGCGUGCUCCCUAUGAGAACCUAAUGCUUGAUGAUCCAAGGUAGAACAGUUUCAUCCCAAAACCAUUCCCCUGCCUCCGUGGAAAUAUUGUCUUCCACGAAACUAGGCCCUGGUGCCAAAAAGGUUGGGGCCUGCUGCCUUAGGGCAUGUCCUGUUACCAGCUUCCAGUUGCCCUUGAAGUGGUCUUCAUUAUCCUGGCUUUCUCUCCCCAGUCUCUUCUUCCUGCUGGCCUUCCUACGGGCCUGUCCCUCACUGGCUCUGGGUCCUGGGCCUCUACCCAGGCCUGAGUCCAUGUGCUCAGAAAAGGUGUGAUUUCAUCCUUCUGGAGUACUGGUGUUCAUGUGACUGUCCUUUGAAAGAACAGGGCAAGAGUCAUCUGUUUUCUAUUAAACUUUGAUGACAUUUGAUACACACAAGACACUGAGAGAGGGGCAGAGAAACCUGGAUGUGCAGAUAAAAUAGAGACCAAAGUAGUACAUCAGGAGAGAUGUGAAGAUAUCCCAGGUAACAUUCACUGUGAUCCGUUUUGUGAGCAACAAUGUGGAGUACUGGUAUAGAGUUUCGGGAGACCUGGGUGUUAAUUCUAGCUUAGUCACACGCUACGUGUGUGAACUUGCGCAAGUUACUUGAUCCUGAAGCCUCACUUUUCUCCUUUGAAAAUGGGAAUAAUACUACCACCUACCUCCUGGAAUUGUAGUGGUGAAGAUUAAAUCAGGAGAAAAUGAACGUGUGUGAAUCGAAAGACCCAUCCUGCCUUAACAAUUUUGGCACAGGCUGGCUGAGAGACUGAGAAUAACACAGAGGACUGUUUCCUACAAGAAAGACACAUGUUUCCAGAUUGAGAUUCCAGGGAGGGCAUCCAGUUCCAAGGAUAACAGUGAUGGGGCCGAAUUUGAGACUGGGGUUGCUAUGGAAACAUCCUAGGCAGGUUGGCUAGCGUGGGGAGCAAGGACUGCUGUACACAAGCACCUCUGAAGACUGUCAGGAGUUUUCUAUGAAAAUUGGACUUCCUGCAGUUGUGUAGGUGAGAGAUUGGAAAUGUUGAGGUUCAGCUAUCCGUAUCAAAGAACUGAAUUUUCUCUCACUGGCUGGCAUGAUUUCUGUUAGAAUCUCCAAGACUAAAAGAAUGAGUAGACUGCCUUGAAUGUAAUGAGCCCCCCAUGAUGUAAUACUACUUGUGAGUAGUAUUUAAGGAGAGACCAGAUGGCUUUAUGUCUGUGUAUGUUCAUAUUCCACUAGAAAGCCUGCAUAUGUGUAUGCGUUGCAAAUUGUAAAACAAGUUCUGCAAUAUAAAUGCUAUUAUCACUAGGUAUGUGUAUGUUUCUGCUAUGCAUGUAUGUGGGAAGUCUCGCUGCAUGAGGGCUGACUUUCAAAGUUUCCUUUGCAACUCUUAAGAAUCUAUGGAUUUAUCAAAAUAAAAUAGGCAAUUUUAAUAAAUAAAAAAUCAUGUUCUAAUGGGGAGAUGUUGGUCAAAGAGUACAAACUUUCAGUUAUAAAAGGCAUAAGUUCUGGGGUCUAAUGUACAGCAUGAUAACUAUAGUUAAUACUGUAUUGUAUUGACAUUUGCUAAGAGAGUAGAUAUUAAAUGUUCUCACCACACACAUAUACUUAUGUGAGGUAAUGGAUGUGUGAACUAAGUUGUCUGUAGUAAUAAUUUCACAAUAUAUAUGUAUAUCAAAUCAUCACAUUUUACAUCUUAAAUUUAUACAGUUUUAUUUGUCAAUUAUGCCUCAAUAAAGCUGGAAAAAGAUGUCAC